CCCUAUGGGGUGCAGCGCCGAAUUAAAAUGGAUGCAUUCACCGGGUUCCAGAAGGCUGGUGUUUUUGCCGACGGAGAUGGAAAGCUUCCCUUUCAGCACAUAGAUGAAUUCUUCGCCUUCGUGGUGAUAUUCCACCCCUUCAUGAGCGGUCUUGGGUUCUAUGGUGACGAGGUAUGCGCCAAGAUGCUUGUCGGAGCCGGAUUUCGUAAGCUGUGUAUAGGCGUACGAUCCCGCCCGCUUUUUCUGGCUUUUUGCUCUGGACGAGGCUUUUUUGUUUUCGUUGCCGUCGAGGGUUUCAACAUCGACCUUCAGCGUCCGGCUCAACUGUAAAACAAGCGCCACCGGGGCGGUGGUUUCAUCUUUUUCAACUUUUUCCAGGAGAUCGGCGGGGGGGC
This 395-nucleotide ribosomal RNA is filed under the name uncultured prokaryote. RNAcentral describes it as "partial 16S ribosomal RNA". The record is from RNAcentral.